RNAcentral lists this ribosomal RNA (253 nucleotides) under uncultured bacterium. RNAcentral's name for it is "partial 16S ribosomal RNA". It matches the Rfam family "Bacterial small subunit ribosomal RNA", at positions 524 to 776 of the family's 1533-position model. The record is from RNAcentral.
GACGAACCGUGCGAACGUUGUUCGGAAUCACUGGGCUUAAAGGGCGCGUAGGCGGGCUCGCAAGUCUGCGGUGAAAGCCCCCGGCUUAACCGGGGAAGGGCCGUGGAUACUGCGGGCCUCGAGGAGGGUAGGGGCGUCUGGAACAGUAGGUGGAGCGGUGAAAUGCGUAGAGAUCUGGAAGAACACCAAAGGCGAAGGCAGCGUCCUGGGAAGUGACUGACGCUCAUGUGCGAAAGCUAGGGGAGCGAACGGG